This 433-nucleotide ribosomal RNA is filed under the name uncultured bacterium. RNAcentral's name for it is "bacterial SSU rRNA". It matches the Rfam family "Bacterial small subunit ribosomal RNA", at positions 917 to 1350 of the family's 1533-position model. The record is from RNAcentral.
GGGCCCGCACAAGCAGUGGAGCAUGUGGUUUAAUUCGAUGCAACGCGAAGAACCUUACCUACUCUUGACAUCCAGAGAAGCCAGUAGAGAUACAGGUGUGCCUUCGGGAGCUCUGAGACAGGUGCUGCAUGGCUGUCGUCAGCUCGUGUUGUGAAAUGUUGGGUUAAGUCCCGCAACGAGCGCAACCCUUAUCCUUGUUUGCCAGCACUUCGGGUGGGAACUCCAGGGAGACUGCCGGUGAUAAACCGGAGGAAGGUGGGGACGACGUCAAGUCAUCAUGGCCCUUACGAGUAGGGCUACACACGUGCUACAAUGGCGCAUACAGAGGGCAGCCAACUUGCGAAAGUGAGCGAAUCCCAAAAAGUGCGUCGUGGUCCGGAUUGGAGUCUGCAACUCGACUCCAUGAAGUCGGAAUCGCUAGUAAUCGUGGAUC